Molecule: transfer RNA, 89 nt
Filed under: Clostridiales bacterium
Lineage: Bacteria; Bacillati; Bacillota; Clostridia; Eubacteriales
Also listed under: 1 other name
Description: tRNA-Ser
Rfam family: tRNA
About the family: Transfer RNA (tRNA) molecules are approximately 80 nucleotides in length.
Source: RNAcentral
GGAGAGAUGGCCGAGCGGUUGAUGGCGCUAGUCUUGAAAACUAGUGAUGCUGAAAGGCACCGGGGGUUCGAAUCCCUCUCUCUCCGCCA